Molecule: ribosomal RNA, 1384 nt
Filed under: Chryseobacterium piscium
Lineage: Bacteria; Pseudomonadati; Bacteroidota; Flavobacteriia; Flavobacteriales; Weeksellaceae
Description: bacterial SSU rRNA
Rfam family: Bacterial small subunit ribosomal RNA
Source: RNAcentral
UGCAGCCGAGCGGUAUUUGUCUUUCGGGACAGAGAGAGCGGCGUACGGGUGCGGAACACGUGUGCAACCUACCUUUAUCAGGGGGAUAGCCUUUCGAAAGGAAGAUUAAUACCCCAUAAUAUAUUGAUUGGCAUCAGUUAAUAUUGAAAACUCCGGUGGAUAGAGAUGGGCACGCGCAAGAUUAGAUAGUUGGUAGGGUAACGGCCUACCAAGUCAGUGAUCUUUAGGGGGCCUGAGAGGGUGAUCCCCCACACUGGUACUGAGACACGGACCAGACUCCUACGGGAGGCAGCAGUGAGGAAUAUUGGACAAUGGGUGAGAGCCUGAUCCAGCCAUCCCGCGUGAAGGACGACGGCCCUAUGGGUUGUAAACUUCUUUUGUAUAGGGAUAAACCUUUCCACGUGUGGAAAGCUGAAGGUACUAUACGAAUAAGCACCGGCUAACUCCGUGCCAGCAGCCGCGGUAAUACGGAGGGUGCAAGCGUUAUCCGGAUUUAUUGGGUUUAAAGGGUCCGUAGGCGGAUCUGUAAGUCAGUGGUGAAAUCUCAUAGCUUAACUAUGAAACUGCCAUUGAUACUGCAGGUCUUGAGUAAAGUAGAAGUGGCUGGAAUAAGUAGUGUAGCGGUGAAAUGCAUAGAUAUUACUUAGAACACCAAUUGCGAAGGCAGGUCACUAUGUUUUAACUGACGCUGAUGGACGAAAGCGUGGGGAGCGAACAGGAUUAGAUACCCUGGUAGUCCACGCCGUAAACGAUGCUAACUCGUUUUUGGGCUUUAGGGUUCAGAGACUAAGCGAAAGUGAUAAGUUAGCCACCUGGGGAGUACGUUCGCAAGAAUGAAACUCAAAGGAAUUGACGGGGGCCCGCACAAGCGGUGGAUUAUGUGGUUUAAUUCGAUGAUACGCGAGGAACCUUACCAAGGCUUAAAUGGGAAUUGACAGGUUUAGAAAUAGACUUUUCUUCGGACAAUUUUCAAGGUGCUGCAUGGUUGUCGUCAGCUCGUGCCGUGAGGUGUUAGGUUAAGUCCUGCAACGAGCGCAACCCCUGUCACUAGUUGCCAUCAUUCAGUUGGGGACUCUAGUGAGACUGCCUACGCAAGUAGAGAGGAAGGUGGGGAUGACGUCAAAUCAUCACGGCCCUUACGCCUUGGGCCACACACGUAAUACAAUGGCCAGUACAGAGGGCAGCUACCAGGCGACUGGAUGCGAAUCUCGAAAGCUGGUCUCAGUUCGGAUUGGAGUCUGCAACUCGACUCUAUGAAGCUGGAAUCGCUAGUAAUCGCAUAUCAGCCAUGAUGCGGUGAAUACGUUCCCGGGCCUUGUACACACCGCCCGUCAAGCCAUGGAAGUUUGGGGUACCUGAAGUCGGUGACCGUAACAGGAGCUGC